Strongylocentrotus purpuratus (purple sea urchin) is the source of this 360-nucleotide long non-coding RNA. RefSeq lists it as uncharacterized. The transcript is spliced from 3 exons. NCBI's taxonomy places the organism in Eukaryota, Metazoa, Echinodermata, Echinoidea, Camarodonta, Strongylocentrotidae. The record is from RefSeq and is a predicted model, not a curated record.
UUGUGUUUGAAGGUCGGGUUGGUAGUAUCUGGACCGGAGAUAUAGCUAUCGAUGACGUCACAAUGUACCACGGGUAUUGUGCAGGUUCACCGCGAUGUGAUUUUGAGGAUCCGUUCCUAUGCGGUUACACACAGGACCCUACCGAUGAUCUAGAUUGGAUCUAUUGGUCUGGAGCAACACCUACACGAAACACCGGUCCAUCAUAUGACGUCACCUAUGGAACGCUGGCAGGUCAUUAUCUGUAUGUGGGUAGUGAGGGGUACCAAGGUGACGCAGCCCGGUUGAUUUCACCUCACGUCACAUCCGAUACGCCUGAUGAAGUUCACUGCUGGAGGUACUAUUAUCACAUGUGGGGUCAAG